UACGAAGGGGACUAGCGUUGUUCGGAAUCACUGGGCGUAAAGCGCACGUAGGCGGAUUCGUAAGUCAGGGGUGAAAUCCCGGGGCUCAACCUCGGAACUGCCUUUGAUACUGCGGGUCUUGAGUCCGAUAGAGGUGGGUGGAAUUCCUAGUGUAGAGGUGAAAUUCGUAGAUAUUGGGAAGAACACCGGUGGCGAAGGCGGCUCACUGGCUCGUUUCUGACGCUCAUGCACGAUAGCGUGGGGAUCAAACAGG
RNAcentral lists this ribosomal RNA (253 nucleotides) under uncultured bacterium. RNAcentral's name for it is "partial 16S ribosomal RNA". It matches the Rfam family "Bacterial small subunit ribosomal RNA", at positions 524 to 776 of the family's 1533-position model. The record is from RNAcentral.